UGGUGGGUAGUUUGACUGGGGCGGUCUCCUCCUAAAGAGUAACGGAGGAGCACGAAGGUUGGCUAAUCCUGGUCGGACAUCAGGAGGUUAGUGCAAUGGCAUAAGCCAGCUUGACUGCGAGCGUGACGGCGCGAGCAGGUGCGAAAGCAGGUCAUAGUGAUCCGGUGGUUCUGAAUGGAAGGGCCAUCGCUCAACGGAUAAAAGGUACUCCGGGGAUAACAGGCUGAUACCGCCCAAGAGUUCAUAUCGACGGCGGUGUUUGGCACCUCGAUGUCGGCUCAUCACAUCCUGGGGCUGAAGUAGGUCCCAAGGGUAUGGCUGUUCGCCAUUUAAAGUGGUACGCGAGCUGGGUUUAGAACGUCGUGAGACAGUUCGGUCCCUAUCUGCCGUGGGCGCUGGAGAACUGAGGGGGGCUGCUCCUAGUACGAGAGGACCGGAGUGGACGCAUCACUGGUGUUCGGGUUGUCAUGCCAAUGGCACUGCCCGGUAGCUAAAUGCGGAAGAGAUAAGUGCUGAAAGCAUCUAAGCACGAAACUUGCCCCGAGAUGAGUUCUCCCUGACUCCUUGAGAGUCCUGAAGGAACGUUGAAGACGACGACGUUGAUAGGCCGGGUGUGUAAGCGCAGCGAUGCGUUGAGCUAACCGGUACUAAUGAACCGUGAGGCUUAACCUUACAACGCCGAAG
Molecule: ribosomal RNA, 684 nt
Filed under: Escherichia coli
Lineage: Bacteria; Pseudomonadati; Pseudomonadota; Gammaproteobacteria; Enterobacterales; Enterobacteriaceae
Description: bacterial LSU rRNA
Rfam family: Bacterial large subunit ribosomal RNA
Source: RNAcentral